RNAcentral lists this ribosomal RNA (249 nucleotides) under Triticum aestivum (bread wheat). RNAcentral describes it as "partial small subunit ribosomal RNA". The record is from RNAcentral. Lineage: Eukaryota; Viridiplantae; Streptophyta; Magnoliopsida; Poales; Poaceae.
AUGGCUUGGCUAAGUUGGGAGAAAAUGAAACUACCCAAACUAAUGGGAGGCAUGGGUUUCAGGAAUAUGCGUGCUUUUAAUCAGGCGUUGUUAGCAAAACAGGCCUGGCAGUUGUUGGACAGCCCUGAUAGUCUAUGUGCUCGUUUAUUGCGCGCAAAGUAUUUCCCUAAUGGGAUUUGUUGGAUACAGUAUUUCCUAGCAGCUCUUCGACGGUAUGGAGAGGUAUUGUUCAUGGACUUGAAUUGUUGA